Molecule: ribosomal RNA, 497 nt
Filed under: uncultured bacterium
Lineage: Bacteria
Description: partial 16S ribosomal RNA
Rfam family: Bacterial small subunit ribosomal RNA
Source: RNAcentral
GAUGAACGCUGGCGGCGUGCCUAAUACAUGCGAGUCGAGCGAACGGACGAGAAGCUUGCUUCUCUGAUGUUAGCGGCGGACGGGUGAGUAACACGUGGAUACCCUACCUAUAAGACUGGGAUAACUUCGGGAAACCGGAGCUAAUACCGGAUAAUAUUUUGAACCGCAUGGUUCAAAAGUGAAAGACGGUCUUGCUGUCACUUAUAGAUGGAUCCGCGCUGCAUUAGCUAGUUGGUAAGGUAACGGCUUACCAAGGCAACGAUGCAUAGCCGACCUGAGAGGGUGAUCGGCCACACUGGAACUGAGACACGGUCCAGACUCCUACGGGAGGCAGCAGUAGGGAAUCUUCCGCAAUGGGCGAAAGCCUGACGGAGCAACGCCGCGUGAGUGAUGAAGGUCUUCGGAUCGUAAAACUCUGUUAUUAGGGAAGAACAUAUGUGUAAGUAACUGUGCACAUCUUGACGGUACCUAAUCAGAAAGCCACGGCUAACUACGUG